GAGUUUGAUCCUGGCUCAGGACGAACGCUGGCGGCGUGCCUAACACAUGCAAGUCGAGCGAGAGACUUCGGUCUCUAGCGGCGGACGGGUGAGUAACACGUGGGUAACCUGCCUCAAACAGGGGGAUAGCCUUCCGAAAGGAAGAUUAAUACCGCAUAAUAUAGUUUAACCGCAUGGUUAGAUUAUCAAAGGAGUUUUAUCAAUUUAUUGAUAAACAUCCGGUUUGAGAUGGACCCGCGGCGCAUUAGCUAGUUGGUGAGGUAACGGCUCACCAAGGCGACGAUGCGUAGCCGACCUGAGAGGGUGAUCGGCCACAUUGGAACUGAGAUAC
Molecule: ribosomal RNA, 331 nt
Filed under: uncultured low G+C Gram-positive bacterium 274ev
Lineage: Bacteria; Bacillati; Bacillota
Description: bacterial SSU rRNA
Rfam family: Bacterial small subunit ribosomal RNA
Source: RNAcentral